This 2805-nucleotide ribosomal RNA is filed under the name Ralstonia solanacearum. RNAcentral describes it as "bacterial LSU rRNA". It matches the Rfam family "Bacterial large subunit ribosomal RNA". RNAcentral also lists the same sequence under 1 other name. Lineage: Bacteria; Pseudomonadati; Pseudomonadota; Betaproteobacteria; Burkholderiales; Burkholderiaceae. The record is from RNAcentral.
GUUAUAGGGUCAAGCGAAUAAGUGCAUGUGGUGGAUGCCUUGGCGAUCACAGGCGAUGAAGGACGUAGUAGCUUGCGAAAAGCUGCGGGGAGCUGGCAAACGAGCUUUGAUCCGCAGAUGUCCGAAUGGGGAAACCCGGCCCGUAUGGGUCAUCCCUUGCUGAAUACAUAGGCAAGGGAGGCGAACGCAGUGAACUGAAACAUCUAAGUAGCUGCAGGAAAAGAAAUCAACCGAGAUUCCCAAAGUAGUGGCGAGCGAAAUGGGAACAGCCUUGUACUCUUUAGCAGUAUUGUUAGCGGAACGGAAUGGAAAGUCCGGCCAUAGUGGGUGAUAGCCCCGUACGCGAAAACAGUAUUGUGGAACUAGGUGUACGACAAGUAGGGCGGGACACGUGAAAUCCUGUCUGAAGAUGGGGGGACCAUCCUCCAAGGCUAAAUACUCGUGAUCGACCGAUAGUGAACCAGUACCGUGAGGGAAAGGCGAAAAGAACCCCGGGAGGGGAGUGAAAUAGAUCCUGAAACCGCAUGCAUACAAACAGUCGGAGCCUGGAAACGGGUGACGGCGUACCUUUUGUAUAAUGGGUCAGCGACUUACAUUCAGUGGCAAGCUUAACCGAUUAGGGAAGGCGUAGCGAAAGCGAGUCCGAAUAGGGCGUUCAGUCGCUGGGUGUAGACCCGAAACCAAGUGAUCUAUCCAUGGCCAGGUUGAAGGUGCGGUAACACGUACUGGAGGACCGAACCCACUAACGUUGAAAAGUUAGGGGAUGAGCUGUGGAUAGGGGUGAAAGGCUAAACAAACUUGGAAAUAGCUGGUUCUCUCCGAAAACUAUUUAGGUAGUGCCUCGUGUCUCACCUUCGGGGGUAGAGCACUGUCAUGGUUGGGGGGUCUAUUGCUGAUUACCCCGCCAUAGCAAACUCCGAAUACCGAAGAGUGCAAUCACGGGAGACAGACAUCGGGUGCUAACGUCCGGUGUCAAGAGGGAAACAACCCAGACCGCCAGCUAAGGUCCCUAAGAUUGGCUAAGUGGGAAACGAAGUGGGAAGGCUAAAACAGUCAGGAGGUUGGCUUAGAAGCAGCCACCCUUUAAAGAAAGCGUAAUAGCUCACUGAUCGAGUCGUCCUGCGCGGAAGAUGUAACGGGGCUAAGCCAGUCACCGAAGCUGCGGAUGCACGUAAGUGCAUGGUAGGAGAGCGUUCUGUAAGCCUGUGAAGGUGUCUUGUAAAGGAUGCUGGAGGUAUCAGAAGUGCGAAUGCUGACAUGAGUAGCGAUAAAGGGGGUGAAAGGCCCCCUCGCCGUAAGCCCAAGGUUUCCUACGCAACGUUCAUCGGCGUAGGGUGAGUCGGCCCCUAAGGCGAGGCAGAGAUGCGUAGCUGAUGGGAAGCAGGUUAAUAUUCCUGCACCGUCGUAUGAUGCGAUGGGGGGACGGAUCGCGGAAGGUUGUCCGGGUGUUGGAAGUCCCGGUCCCUACAUUGGAGAUGGCACUUAGGCAAAUCCGGGUGCGUGAUUCAAGGGUGUGGGGCGAGCGACGUUAGGUCGCGAAGCAAUUGGAAGUGGUUCCAAGAAAAGCCUCUAAGCUUCAGUCAUACGAGACCGUACCGCAAACCGACACAGGUGGGCGAGAUGAGUAUUCUAAGGCGCUUGAGAGAACUCGGGAGAAGGAACUCGGCAAAUUGGUACCGUAACUUCGGGAUAAGGUACGCCCUUGUAGUUUGACUGGCUCGCGCCAGAAGGAUGAAGGGGUUGCAAUAAAAUGGUGGCUGCGACUGUUUAAUAAAAACACAGCACUCUGCAAACACGAAAGUGGACGUAUAGGGUGUGACGCCUGCCCGGUGCCGGAAGAUUAAAUGAUGGGGUGCAAGCUCUUGAUUGAAGUCCCGGUAAACGGCGGCCGUAACUAUAACGGUCCUAAGGUAGCGAAAUUCCUUGUCGGGUAAGUUCCGACCUGCACGAAUGGCGUAACGAUGGCCACACUGUCUCCUCCCGAGACUCAGCGAAGUUGAAGUGUUUGUGAUGAUGCAAUCUCCCCGCGGCUAGACGGAAAGACCCCAUGAACCUUUACUGUAGCUUUGCAUUGGACUUUGAACCGAUCUGUGUAGGAUAGGUGGGAGGCUUUGAAACCGGGACGCUAGUUUCGGUGGAGCCGACCUUGAAAUACCACCCUGGUUUGUUUGAGGUUCUAACCUUGGCCCGUGAAUCCGGGUCGGGGACAGUGCAUGGUAGGCAGUUUGACUGGGGCGGUCUCCUCCCAAAGUGUAACGGAGGAGUUCGAAGGUACGCUUGGUACGGUCGGACAUCGUACCUAAAGUGCAAUGGCAAAAGCGUGCUUAACUGCGAGACCGACAAGUCGAGCAGGUGCGAAAGCAGGACAUAGUGAUCCGGUGGUUCUGUAUGGAAGGGCCAUCGCUCAACGGAUAAAAGGUACUCUGGGGAUAACAGGCUGAUACCGCCCAAGAGUUCAUAUCGACGGCGGUGUUUGGCACCUCGAUGUCGGCUCAUCUCAUCCUGGGGCUGUAGCCGGUCCCAAGGGUAUGGCUGUUCGCCAUUUAAAGAGGUACGUGAGCUGGGUUUAAAACGUCGUGAGACAGUUUGGUCCCUAUCUGCCGUGGGCGUUGGAAUCUUGACGGGGGCUGCUCCUAGUACGAGAGGACCGGAGUGGACGUACCGCUGGUGUACCUGUUGUCUCGCCAGAGGCAUCGCAGGGUAGCUAUGUACGGAAGAGAUAACCGCUGAAAGCAUCUAAGCGGGAAACUCGCCUGAAGAUGAGGAUUCCCUGGAGACUUGAUCUCCCUGAAGGGUCGUUCGAGA